GCUGGGCAUGGUGGUGUGUGCCAGUAGUUCCAGCUACUUGGGAGGCUGAGGCAGGGGAAUCACUUGAGGCCAGGAGUUCAAGGUUGCCGUGAGCCAUGAUGGUGCCACUGCACUCUAGCCUGGACAACAGAGUGAGAUCCUGUCUCUA
Molecule: unclassified non-coding RNA, 148 nt
Organism: Macaca fascicularis (crab-eating macaque)
Lineage: Eukaryota; Metazoa; Chordata; Mammalia; Primates; Cercopithecidae
Rfam family: Metazoan signal recognition particle RNA
About the family: The signal recognition particle (SRP) is a universally conserved ribonucleoprotein. It is involved in the co-translational targeting of proteins to membranes.
Source: Ensembl